Molecule: long non-coding RNA, 235 nt
Filed under: Phoenix dactylifera (date palm)
Lineage: Eukaryota; Viridiplantae; Streptophyta; Magnoliopsida; Arecales; Arecaceae
Description: long non-coding RNA (PDAC_LNC002209)
Source: RNAcentral
CUAAAUGAUAGACCUACCAGGUUUCAUUUGGAGGUAGACUUACUCUCAUCAAUUCAAUGCCCACCUCGCUCCCUAUUUACUUUAUAUCUAUCAUCAAGCUCCCUACCCGGGUUGUAACAAAAAUUGAAAAGUGCAGAUGACCUUUUUAUUUGGACCCAUACCUCAGAAGCACAUAGCUUGCAAAGUCAACUAGCAAAUGGUAUAUUUGCAGGAGGAGGAAGGAGGUCCAGGGGUC